UACAGAGGGUGCGAGCGUUGUUCGGAAUUACUGGGCGUAAAGCGCGCGCAGGCGGCCACUUAAGUCUGUUGGUGAAAGACCGGGGCUCAACCCCGUGUCAGCCAUGGAUACUGGGAGGCUGGAGACAGGUAGAGGCAAGCGGAAUUCCGGGUGUAGCGGUGGAAUGCGUAGAGAUCCGGAAGAACACCGGAGGCGAAGGCGGCUUGCUGGACCUGGUCUGACGCUGAGGCGCGAAAGCGUGGGGAGCGAACAGG
RNAcentral lists this ribosomal RNA (254 nucleotides) under uncultured bacterium. RNAcentral describes it as "partial 16S ribosomal RNA". It matches the Rfam family "Bacterial small subunit ribosomal RNA", at positions 524 to 776 of the family's 1533-position model. The record is from RNAcentral.